GGAGAGGUGGCUGAGUGGCUGAAAGCAGCAACCUGCUAAGUUGUUAGGGGUUAACGCCCCUCGAGGGUUCGAAUCCCUCCCUCUCCG
This 87-nucleotide transfer RNA is filed under the name Candidatus Falkowbacteria bacterium RIFCSPLOWO2_02_FULL_45_15. Its description in RNAcentral is "tRNA-Ser". It matches the Rfam family "tRNA". From Rfam's summary of the family: Transfer RNA (tRNA) molecules are approximately 80 nucleotides in length. Their secondary structure includes four short double-helical elements and three loops (D, anti-codon, and T loops). Lineage: Bacteria; Candidatus Falkowiibacteriota. The record is from RNAcentral.